Molecule: long non-coding RNA, 817 nt
Filed under: Capsicum annuum
Lineage: Eukaryota; Viridiplantae; Streptophyta; Magnoliopsida; Solanales; Solanaceae
Description: long non-coding RNA (CANN_LNC005806)
Source: RNAcentral
UUGGAUACAGAGAUUUAUGAUAGGCUAAUAAUGGCUCAGAGAUGUGACUUGUAAGUCAAUGGUAUGACGAUACCAUAUGUAUUUAUACCAUGACAGAUUAUGUUUCAGAUUAUUUUUUCAGAGUAUGUUUUCAGAGUAUGUUUUCAUAUCAUGUUUUCAGAGACUGUAUGUUUUGAUAGAGUUUUAAAAAAGAGCUAAAAGAAGGUUAGGUGGUUACCCGAAGAGGGCGUGAGUUCAAGUAACUCUUAGCCUAAAACCGUAUUUUUCGAUACGGGUAGAUUAUUAUUGUACGUUGGCGACAGCCGUGUGGCGUAGUAGAUUCAGAGACUCCGACCCUUGUGGCACACUUGGGUUAGGGGCUUAGCUGCUGAGUUAAUGGUAGUUUCCACAAAGCUCGUGGAAUUUUUAGAAUUAUAGGGUAUACCACCUAACUCAGAAGUAGUACAAAGAGUGUUUCAGAUUUCAUAUGUUGUCACAAAGUCCUUUAAAAAUGCCCAUGAUAAUUCUUACUACACGAUUGUUUAUGAACUAUUUUAAACUGCUCUCAUAUAUGUGAUUAUAAAUGAUUAUUUUGAUUUGCUCUGCCCACCAGUACAUUUGUAUUUAUCCCCUCCCCCUCCAACCAUCUCAGAUUCUGAGGCUCAGUCUAGAGGUCCAGAGAAGCAGUAGAUAAAUUCAGAUCGCAGAUCAGACUUGUGCAGUGGUGAGCCUUCUAUUUUCCAUAAGGCCUGUUGAGUUUUUGGAUAUUUAUCUAUAGUCAUGUUUUGGUUUACUGGGGUCCUUGUCCCAGUUUUCAGAUAGCUUAAUUUGUUUAUAG